UGCUUAACACAUGCAAGUCGAGUGCGUAGUCAUCUGUAGCAAUACAGGUGACAGGCGCACGGCGCACGGGUGCGUAACACGUGGGUAAUCUGCCCUCUGAUGGGGAAUAACCCGCCGAAAGGCGGGCUAAUACCGCAUAACAUCCCUUUGGCUUCGGCCGGGGGGAUCAAAGGCCGCAAGGCCGUCGGUGGAGGAGCCCGCGCCCGAUUAGCUAGUUGGUGAGGUCAUGGCUCACCAAGGCUUUGAUCGGUAGCCGGUCUGAGAGGACGACCGGCCACACUGGAACUGAGACACGGUCCAGACUCCUACGGGAGGCAGCAGUGGGGAAUAUUGCGCAAUGGGCGAAAGCCUGACGCAGCGACGCCGCGUGGGGGAUGAAGCUUCUCGGAGUGUAAACCCC
This 400-nucleotide ribosomal RNA is filed under the name uncultured organism. RNAcentral's name for it is "bacterial SSU rRNA". It matches the Rfam family "Bacterial small subunit ribosomal RNA", at positions 45 to 433 of the family's 1533-position model. The record is from RNAcentral.